Molecule: ribosomal RNA, 508 nt
Filed under: uncultured bacterium
Lineage: Bacteria
Description: partial 16S ribosomal RNA
Rfam family: Bacterial small subunit ribosomal RNA
Source: RNAcentral
AUUGAACGCUGGCGGCAUGCCUUACACAUGCAAGUCGAACGGCAGCGGGGGAGAAGCUUGCUUUUCCUGCCGGCGAGUGGCGAACGGGUGAGUAAUACAUCGGAACGUGCCCUGUAGUGGGGGAUAACUAGUCGAAAGAUUAGCUAAUACCGCAUACGACCUGAGGGUGAAAGUGGGGGACCGCAAGGCCUCAUGCUAUAGGAGCGGCCGAUGUCUGAUUAGCUAGUUGGUGGGGGAAAGGCCUACCAAGGCGACGAUCAGUAGCUGGUCUGAGAGGACGAUCAGCCACACUGGGACUGAGACACGGCCCAGACUCCUACGGGAGGCAGCAGUGGGGAAUUUUGGACAAUGGGCGAAAGCCUGAUCCAGCAAUGCCGCGUGUGUGAAGAAGGCCUUCGGGUUGUAAAGCCCUUUUGUCCGGAAAGAAAUGGCUCUGGUUAAUACCUGGGGUCGAUGACGGUACCGGAAGAAUAAGGACCGGCUAACUACGUGCCAGCCGCCGCAGUAA